Molecule: ribosomal RNA, 510 nt
Filed under: uncultured bacterium
Lineage: Bacteria
Description: partial 16S ribosomal RNA
Rfam family: Bacterial small subunit ribosomal RNA
Source: RNAcentral
GACGAACGCUGGCGGCGUGCUUAACACAUGCAAGUCGAACGAAGAGCGAUGGAAGCUUGCUUCUAUCAAUCUUAGUGGCGAACGGGUGAGUAACGCGUAAUCAACCUGCCCUUCAGAGGGGGACAACAGUUGGAAACGACUGCUAAUACCGCAUACGAUCUAAUCUCGGCAUCGAGGAUAGAUGAAAGGUGGCCUCUACAUGUAAGCUAUCACUGAAGGAGGGGAUUGCGUCUGAUUAGCUAGUAGGAGGGGUAACGGCCCACCAAGGCGAUGAUCAGUAGCCGGUCUGAGAGGAUGAACGGCCACAUUGGGACUGAGACACGGCCCAGACUCCUACGGGAGGCAGCAGUGGGGAAUCUUCCGCAAUGGACGAAAGUCUGACGGAGCAACGCCGCGUGAGUGAUGACGGCCUUCGGGUUGUAAAGCUCUGUUAAUCGGGACGAAAGGCCUUCUUGCGAAUAGUGAGAAGGAUUGACGGUACCGGAAUAGAAAGCCACGGCUAACUACGUG